Molecule: ribosomal RNA, 510 nt
Filed under: uncultured bacterium
Lineage: Bacteria
Description: partial 16S ribosomal RNA
Rfam family: Bacterial small subunit ribosomal RNA
Source: RNAcentral
GACGAACGCUGGCGGCGUGCUUAACACAUGCAAGUCGAACGAAGAGCGAUGGAAGCUUGCUUCUCUCAAUCUUAGUGGCGAACGGGUGAGUAACGCGUAAUCAACCUGCCCUUCAGAGGGGGACAACAGCUGGAAACGACUGCUAAUACCGCAUACGAUCUAAUCUCGGCAUCGAGGAUGGAUGAAAGGUGGCCUCUACAUGUAAGCUAUCACUGAAGGAGGGGAUUGCGUCUGAUUAGCUAGAUGGAGGGGUAACGGCCCACCAAGGCGAUGAUCAGUAGCCGGUCUCAGAGGAUGAGCGGCCACACUGGUACUGGGACACGGCCCAGACUCCUACGGGAGGCAGCAGUGGGGAAUCUUCCGCAAUGGACGAAAUUCGGACGAAUCAACGCCGCGUGAGUGAUGACGGCCUUCGUGUUGUAAAGCUCUGUUAAUCGGGACGAAAGGCCUUCUUGCGAAUAGUGAGAAGGAUUGACGGUACCGGAAUAGAAAGCCACGGCUAACUACGUG